UGCGGCCGAACUCCGGUUGAUCCUGCCGGACCCGACUGCUAUCGGGGUGGCACUAAGCCAUGGGAGUCGCACAUCCCACCGCUGUGGGGUGUGGCGAACGGCUGAGUAACACGUGGCUAACCUACCCUCGGGACGGGGACAACUCCGGGAAACUGGAGCUGAUCCCCGAUAGGCGGGGAGUCCUGGAACGGUUCUCCGCCAAAAAGGACUAGGAGGGGUUAACGCUUCUAGUCCGCCCGAGGAUGGGGCUGCGGCCCAUCAGGUAGUUGGCGGGGUAAUGGCCCGCCAAGCCUAUAACGGGUGGGGGCCGUGAGAGCGGGAGCCCCCAGAUGGGCACUGAGACAAGGGCCCAGGCCCUACGGGGCGCACCAGGCGGGAAACCUCCGCAAUGCGGUAACCCGUGACGGGGUCACCCCGAGUGCUCCCCUUAUGGGGAGCUUUUCCCCGCUGCAGGAAGGCGGGGGUAAUAAGUGGGGGGCAAGACUGGUGUCAGCCGCCGCGGUAAUACCAGCCCCACGAGUGGUCGGGACGGUUAUUGGGCCUAAAGCGCCCGUAGCCGGCCCAGC
This 566-nucleotide ribosomal RNA is filed under the name Desulfurococcales archaeon. RNAcentral describes it as "bacterial SSU rRNA". It matches the Rfam family "Archaeal small subunit ribosomal RNA", at positions 1 to 534 of the family's 1478-position model. Lineage: Archaea; Thermoproteati; Thermoproteota; Thermoprotei; Desulfurococcales. The record is from RNAcentral.